Molecule: ribosomal RNA, 289 nt
Filed under: uncultured bacterium
Lineage: Bacteria
Description: partial 16S ribosomal RNA
Rfam family: Bacterial small subunit ribosomal RNA
Source: RNAcentral
GGAUUAGAUACCCUGGUAGUCCACGCUGUAAACGAUGAUCACUCGUUGUUGGCGAUAUACUGUCAGUGACCAAGCGAAAGCAUUAAGUGAUCCACCUGGGGAGUACGAUCGCAAGGUUGAAACUCAAAGGAAUUGACGGGGGCCCGCACAAGCGGUGGAGCAUGUGGUUUAAUUCGAUGAUACGCGAGGAACCUUACCAAGGCUUAAAUGCACAAUGACCUCCCGGGAAACCGGGAUUUCUUUCGAGACAUAGUGCAAGGUGCUGCAUGGUUGUCGUCAGCUCGUGCCG